CACGUGUAGCGGUGAAAUUGCGUAGAGAUGUGGAGGAACACCAGUGGCGAAGGCGACUCUCUGGUCUGUAACUGACGCUGAGGAGCGAAAGCGUGGGGAGCGAACAGGAUUAGAUACCCUGGUAGUCCACGCCGUAAACGAUGAGUGCUAAGUGUUAGGGGGUUUCCGCCCCUUAGUGCUGCAGCUAACGCAUUAAGCACUCCGCCUGGGGAGUACGGUCGCAAGACUGAAACUCAAAGGAAUUGACGGGGGCCCGCACAAGCGGUGGAGCAUGUGGUUUAAUUCGAAGCAACGCGAAGAACCUUACCAGGUCUUGACAUCCUCUGACAAUCCUAGAGAUAGGACGUCCCCUUCGGGGGCAGAGUGACAGGUGGUGCAUGGUUGUCGUCAGCUCGUGUCGUGAGAUGUUGGGUUAAGUCCCGCAACGAGCGCAACCCUUGAUCUUAGUUGCCAGCAUUCAGUUGGGCACUCUAAGGUGACUGCCGGUGACAAACCGGAGGAAGGUGGGGAUGACGUCAAAUCAUCAUGCCCCUUAUGACCUGGGCUACACACGUGCUACAAUGGACAGAACAAAGGGCAGCGAAACCGCGAGGUUAAGCCAAUCCCACAAAUCUGUUCUCAGUUCGGAUCGCAGUCUGCAACUCGACUGCGUGAAGCUGGAAUCGCUAGUAAUCGCGGAU
RNAcentral lists this ribosomal RNA (680 nucleotides) under Bacillus subtilis. RNAcentral's name for it is "bacterial SSU rRNA". It matches the Rfam family "Bacterial small subunit ribosomal RNA", at positions 670 to 1349 of the family's 1533-position model. Lineage: Bacteria; Bacillati; Bacillota; Bacilli; Caryophanales; Bacillaceae. The record is from RNAcentral.